Molecule: non-coding RNA, 638 nt
Organism: Arachis ipaensis
Lineage: Eukaryota; Viridiplantae; Streptophyta; Magnoliopsida; Fabales; Fabaceae
Source: RefSeq, a predicted model, not a curated record
CAGCAGUUUGAGCUGUAAUAGGUUGAUAUACUUGUCCUCUUCUUCCUCUUGCAUUGCUUGGAGGGAAUGUUUGCAUAUUUGCCAAAGGGGUUGCAUCCAUUAUCAGGGGAACCAAGCUUCAACGCAAGGCAUUACAAUAGGAGUUUACACUGAUGCUACACAAUGAAAAAGUUUACAAAUAGAUCCUGAUCAAGUUUCAACAAACAAAAAGAACACGAUGAUAAGGUAUAAUUUUUCUUGUUAGUAAUGUCAGUUAGAAUCAAAUACAAAAGCCACCAAGGGCGAAUUCAAUCCUGCAGCUCAAAUUUGUGUUUGCUAAGUUUCCGUAAAGAAAUUGGCUUACAACAAACAUGUAAAAUAAGGAGCAAAUUUGGCGGUCUUUCUCGCUCUUCUCCUCCAACUGCACUCGCCUAUGGCCGAAUUGGGAGUGCAGUAACCACUAUCAUAGAUUAGUAAACUUCUAUGGAUUCUGAAAGUUUGGGAGAAGCGAGAACUUCCAAAGGCGACAGAUCUAUCCAUUAAGAUGGUUUUUUCUUUCUGCCAGUUUGAGAGAUGCGCCUCAACAGUUGAGUUUCCCUUUUCAUCCCUCUUAGAUAAAGUAGAUAUAGAGAUAGUAAAGUAGCAGCAGCAUCAAAAGC